This 422-nucleotide ribosomal RNA is filed under the name uncultured Lachnospiraceae bacterium. RNAcentral describes it as "bacterial SSU rRNA". It matches the Rfam family "Bacterial small subunit ribosomal RNA", at positions 355 to 794 of the family's 1533-position model. The record is from RNAcentral. Lineage: Bacteria; Bacillati; Bacillota; Clostridia; Lachnospirales; Lachnospiraceae.
UGGGGAAUAUUGCACAAUGGGGGAAACCCUGAUGCAGCGAUGCCGCGUGGAGGAAGAAGGUUUUCGGAUUGUAAACUCCUGUUGAAGAGGACGAUAAUGACGGUACCUGAGUAAGAAGCUCCGGCUAAAUACGUGCCAGCAGCCGCGGUAAUACGUAUGGAGCAAGCGUUAUCCGGAUUUACUGGGUGUAAAGGGAGUGUAGGCGGCUUUGCAAGUCAGAUGUGAAAGCCCGGGGCUCAACCCCGGGACUGCAUUUGAAACUGUGAAGCUGGAGUGUCGGAGAGGUAAGUGGAAUUCCUAGUGUAGCGGUGAAAUGCGUAGAUAUUAGGAAGAACACCAGUGGCGAAGGCGGCUUACUGGACGAUUACUGACGCUGAGGCUCGAAAGCGUGGGGAGCAAACAGGAUUAGAUACCCUGGUAGU